UGCAUGUUUAUGUUCCAAUUGAGGUGGGUUCACUGUGUACCUUGAAAUUUGCUGCGAAAGGAGUGCUUUUAAAGCGUUGUGCUAGAAAGCAAUAUGCCCUUUCAAUAGCAUAUUUACUUCUUAUAAAGGAUUAUAAAUUUGAUAUUUACUUCAAAAGGACUGUUAAGUUAAAGCCUUACCCCAAAUUGGUGCACUCUGGUAGAAGGGGAGAA
This 212-nucleotide long non-coding RNA is filed under the name Elaeis guineensis (African oil palm). Its description in RNAcentral is "long non-coding RNA (EGUI_LNC008831)". Lineage: Eukaryota; Viridiplantae; Streptophyta; Magnoliopsida; Arecales; Arecaceae. The record is from RNAcentral.